CAGUAGCCACGGGAAUACGGAGGGUGCAAGCGUUAUCCGGAUUUAUUGGGUUUAAAGGGUCCGUAGGCGGAUCUGUAAGUCAGUGGUGAAAUCUCACAGCUUAACUGUGAAACUGCCAUUGAUACUGCAGGUCUUGAGUAAAUUUGAAGUGGCUGGAAUAAGUAGUGUAGCGGUGAAAUGCAUAGAUAUUACUUAGAACACCAAUUGCGAAGGCAGGUCACUAAGAUUUAACUGACGCUGAUGGACGAAAGCGUGGGGAGCGAACAGGAUUAGAUACCCCUGUAGUCCAUGUCUCUUAUAC
Molecule: ribosomal RNA, 301 nt
Filed under: uncultured bacterium
Lineage: Bacteria
Description: partial 16S ribosomal RNA
Rfam family: Bacterial small subunit ribosomal RNA
Source: RNAcentral